UACGGGCGGCUGCAGUGGGGAAUAUUGCGCAAUGGGGGAAACCCUGACGCAGCGACGCCGCGUGUAGGAAGAAGGCCUUCGGGUCGUAAACUACUGUCAAGAGGGAAGAAACUGUUAAGGUUUAAUACGCCUUUUCACUGACGGUACCUCUAGAGGAAGCACCGGCUAACUCCGUGCCAGCAGCCGCGGUAAUACGGAGGGUGCGAGCGUUAAUCGGAAGCACUGGGCGUAAAGCGUGCGUAGGCGGCGUGGCAAGUCAGACGUGAAAGCCCUCGGCUCAACCGAGGAAUUGCGUUUGAAACUGCCAUGCUGGAGUCUCGGAGAGGUUGGCGGAAUUCCAGGUGUAGGAGUGAAAUCCGUAGAUAUCUGGAGGAACACCGGUGGCGAAGGCGGCCAACUGGACGAGUACUGACGCUGAGGUACGAAAGCGUGGGGAGCAAACAGGAUUAGAUACCCCUGUAGUC
This 464-nucleotide ribosomal RNA is filed under the name uncultured bacterium. RNAcentral's name for it is "partial 16S ribosomal RNA". It matches the Rfam family "Bacterial small subunit ribosomal RNA", at positions 340 to 795 of the family's 1533-position model. The record is from RNAcentral.